UUUUAUGACGCAGUUUCGUUUUAAAAGUGGAGUUUUAAUUUCUACUGUAAGAAUUGUUGUGCCAGCAGUUUUGAAAGUUGCUGCCAGUAAGAGUCCAGUCGGAGAGUGAAGGUUUAUGGAAGUUCGGGAAGCUGAAGGAUCGAGGAAAGUUGAUGUUAUCGGCGGUAAAACAGAUUCGACCUUAUUCAAUCGUCGUACAAGGAGUUAGUAACCCGUGUCCGAGAUAGCUCCUGCUAAAAGAGCAGAAAGAGUUGGAUGCAGAGUUUUGCCAAGGAAAGACCCAAGAAGAUGAACUGGAAUGUACGCCGGCCUCGCUGCCAAAAAUGUGACAGUCUGCAGCUCUGCA
Hypanus sabinus (Atlantic stingray) is the source of this 346-nucleotide long non-coding RNA. RefSeq lists it as uncharacterized. NCBI's taxonomy places the organism in Eukaryota, Metazoa, Chordata, Chondrichthyes, Myliobatiformes, Dasyatidae. The record is from RefSeq and is a predicted model, not a curated record. The transcript has 3 exons.